GACGAACGCUGGCGGCGUGCUUAACACAUGCAAGUCGAACGGAAAGGCCCUGCUUUUGUGGGGUGCUCGAGUGGCGAACGGGUGAGUAACACGUGAGUAACCUGCCCUUGACUUUGGGAUAACUUCAGGAAACUGGGGCUAAUACCGGAUAGGAGCUCUUGCUGCAUGGUGGGGGUUGGAAAGUUUCGGCGGUUGGGGAUGGACUCGCGGCUUAUCAGCUUGUUGGUGGGGUAGUGGCUUACCAAGGCUUUGACGGGUAGCCGGCCUGAGAGGGUGACCGGCCACAUUGGGACUGAGAUACGGCCCAGACGCCUACGGGAGGCAGCAGUGGGGAAUAUUGCGCAAUGGGCGGAAGCCUGAUGCAGCAGCGCCGCGUGCGGGAAGACGGCCUUCGGGUUGUAAACCGCUUUCGCCUGUGACGAAGCGUGAGUGACGGUAAUGGAUAAAGAAGCACCGGCUAACUACGUG
RNAcentral lists this ribosomal RNA (468 nucleotides) under uncultured bacterium. RNAcentral's name for it is "partial 16S ribosomal RNA". It matches the Rfam family "Bacterial small subunit ribosomal RNA", at positions 28 to 507 of the family's 1533-position model. The record is from RNAcentral.